AACGCAGCUUUAAUCUUUCCAGAAACUAUGCGAAUUCAGCAAAGUAGAAAUCAGCGCUGGGAGUUGGGAGGGGGGCAAAUUCCACCUUCAACGCACGUCUAACCUGACCUUCCCUUCCAUACAGUCUCUACGCACACAGAGGGAAGGAAUGCAACUUUCGGGGCCAAAUCCUGUUCCUGUAGAUGUGGCGUGCCUGAAGCUUCUCCCCAUGGAAUCCAGAAGAAUUCUGCCAUGACAAGCUGUUUCCAAGCUGGGAAACCAGUGCAAAGGUUGUACAAGCCUACAGUUCAUUGCCCCAACUGCUACGGAGAUUCCUGACAUCAGAGCCAGGUGCUUCCGCCAAUCCCCUGCCCCCAGCUUUGCUCUGAUGGACCGUCCCAGCCAGUAAUUAUUAAGAUAAGAGUUUGGCAAGAGGUUUCUGCAUCUGGGAGGAGGAGACAAACUGAAGAAGAGAGAGAAGGAGAGAAAAAUUCAGACUGGCCUGGAAUAAAUAGAGAAGCUGUCACGCUCUUAAAAGGUCUGGUCAUUGGGUCAAAUUCUGCUAUGAACAUCCGGUAUGGACACCCUUUAAUUUCUAAACACACACAAACACACACGCACAUUGGCCAUCACAGACACUUUUCUCCAUGCCCGGCAGGGGCAAUAUGGCUCUCCAUUAAACACCACUCAG
Molecule: long non-coding RNA, 670 nt
Organism: Chrysemys picta bellii (western painted turtle)
Lineage: Eukaryota; Metazoa; Chordata; Testudines; Emydidae
Source: RefSeq, a predicted model, not a curated record